This 92-nucleotide transfer RNA is filed under the name Acetobacter sp. RNAcentral describes it as "tRNA-Ser". It matches the Rfam family "tRNA". Rfam says of the family: Transfer RNA (tRNA) molecules are approximately 80 nucleotides in length. Their secondary structure includes four short double-helical elements and three loops (D, anti-codon, and T loops). Further hydrogen bonds mediate the characteristic L-shaped molecular structure. tRNAs have two regions of fundamental functional importance: the anti-codon, which is responsible for specific mRNA codon recognition, and the 3' end, to which the tRNAs corresponding amino acid is attached (by aminoacyl-tRNA synthetases). tRNAs cope with the degeneracy of the genetic code in two manners: having more than one tRNA (with a specific anti-codon) for a particular amino acid; and 'wobble' base-pairing, i.e. permitting non-standard base-pairing at the 3rd anti-codon position. RNAcentral also lists the same sequence under 3 other names. Lineage: Bacteria; Pseudomonadati; Pseudomonadota; Alphaproteobacteria; Acetobacterales; Acetobacteraceae. The record is from RNAcentral.
GGAGAGAUGGCAGAGUGGUCGAAUGCGGUUGACUCGAAAUCAAUUGUACUCUUCACGGGGUACCCAGGGUUCGAAUCCCUGUCUCUCCGCCA